Molecule: ribosomal RNA, 466 nt
Filed under: uncultured bacterium
Lineage: Bacteria
Description: partial 16S ribosomal RNA
Rfam family: Bacterial small subunit ribosomal RNA
Source: RNAcentral
GACGAACGCUGGCGGCGUGCUUAACACAUGCAAGUCGAACGGUAAGGCUCCAGCUUGCUGGGGUACACGAGUGGCGAACGGGUGAGUAACACGUGGGUGACCUGCCCUGCACUUCGGGAUAAGCCUGGGAAACUGGGUCUAAUACCGGAUAGGACCAUGGUGUGGAUACUGUGGUGGAAAGUUUUUUCGGUGUGGGAUGGGCCCGCGGCCUAUCAGCUUGUUGGUGGGGUAAUGGCCUACCAAGGCGGCGACGGGUAGCCGGCCUGAGAGGGUGGACGGCCACAUUGGGACUGAGACACGGCCCAGACUCCUACGGGAGGCAGCAGUGGAGAAUAUUGCACAAUGGGCGGAAGCCUGAUGCAGCGACGCCGCGUGGGGGAUGACGGCCUUCGGGUUGUAAACUCCUUUCACCAUCGACGAAGGGUUUCUGACGGUAGAUGGAGAAGAAGCACCGGCUAACUACGUG